RNAcentral lists this transfer RNA (91 nucleotides) under Anaerolineales bacterium. RNAcentral describes it as "tRNA-Ser". It matches the Rfam family "tRNA". From Rfam's summary of the family: Transfer RNA (tRNA) molecules are approximately 80 nucleotides in length. RNAcentral also lists the same sequence under 3 other names. The record is from RNAcentral. Lineage: Bacteria; Bacillati; Chloroflexota; Anaerolineae; Anaerolineales.
GGAGAGAUGGCAGAGCGGUUGAAUGCACCGGUCUUGAAAACCGGCAUGGGUUAAUAGCCCAUCUAGGGUUCAAAUCCCUAUCUCUCCGCCA